AAAUUUUUGAGAGCAAACUAUAAAGAUUCCUGCACCACUGACCCUUGUCUCAUACAGUCGGCAUCUUCCUUCACCCUCAAGCCCUCAAGCCCAACACUUGAAAACUGCAGUUCUGUAGUCAAAAUCCAAAGCUUUUCAGGUUUUUUUAAAUACUUCAAGAUUGCAACCUAUUGAAAGUCAAUGAUGAUAUUAAGAAGGAAGGCAAAUGUUGAAUGAAAUUGUGCAGAACUGUAUCAAAAAGGGAUUAUUAGGUUUCAAGGAGACGGGGAGGAGUGGCCUUGCCACAUUCUGCUGGAUUGGUAUUGACAACCUUGCCCAGACUGUUGCAUCAUUGUGGACAACGUCAGACUAGCUCCACCAGGGACCCUGAUAGCUCACUGUGUGAACUCUGCUAAGAGGACAGAAAUAGGAAGCAGGAAGGGAAACCGAGUCCCAGCUGAAAAAAAAAAAUGAUUAUGCUGGUAAAUUGAGAUAAACAAGACCAUAGAAACAUUGCAAUAUAAGCUUUAAAAUGGAUGAAACACACCGGGUCAUUCCCUGGAACCCCGUCGGGAGCAACCAGUCCCGGGUAAAGGGCCUGAACCAAGGGCACACAGAGCAACCAUGGGACGGCAAGAGAAUCUGGAGUUCACCGGAGAGAAAGUUAGAAAGUAACCACAAAAAAAUGU
This is a long non-coding RNA of Sorex araneus (European shrew), 668 nucleotides long. RefSeq lists it as uncharacterized. NCBI's taxonomy places the organism in Eukaryota, Metazoa, Chordata, Mammalia, Eulipotyphla, Soricidae. The record is from RefSeq and is a predicted model, not a curated record. The transcript has 5 exons.